UUGAGAAGUGACCAAAACUUGUGGGCCGUAUCGUCGACCCUUCCUCAGAUUAAAUUUGAAGAACACAAAUAGAGUCGACGGUUACAAAAUCACUGUGCAUCCCUUGGCUCAACUGGUGACUACCUAGAGAGAAAACUAGGAGUUCUAAAACAAGAAACCUAAACAAAUGGCAACCAAGAGAUACUAUACUAACCAGCCCUCUCCUCUAUUUAUAGCGGGUUAUUUCUAUUUUCCUAAACUGCCCUUAUUUACAGAGUCUAUCCACUCCGCUAGGGAAAAAUAGUCCAACUCCUAGGUUUUUGAUCCGGCAGCCACAUGCUCCACACAAAGUUGCUUCGCCUUGACGCACUCUUCACUGUGACACCAUGUGUCACCACCGGUUCCCUUUGGAAUCGCCAACGCCGAGUUUUGAGGCCCAAACUCGGCAAAACCCGCCAUCCGUAGCGCACGGUGGUUUUGAGGCUCAACCACCAAACCGUCGUGAAUAUCGCACCACGUGCUCAUUCUCCACAACUAGGCUCGUGUCCCGCUAGUCCUCGAUCACGCCGACAACUCGAUCCACUCCACCAUGUCCUCGCGUGAGUGUGUGUCCUAGGUGUCAGCCACCAUGGCUGGUCACCUAGUUGCUCCGGUUCAUUAGCCAAGACCCAGCACUCGUCCUUCACCGCUCCCGAUCCAUUAGCAUGAGCCCGUAUGACCUUCACCUCAACCGUCGACCAUCGUCUCUGUGCUCCACACCUGCACACCACAAGCCGACCGACAUGGUUGCAUAUACAUAAUCUCACACUCUGGUUAGUCCACUUACUACCCCAGAGUGCUACCCCAUUGACAAUCACUCAUUAUCAACCCGAACCACAAGAGACAAGUCAACCUUAUGUUCGCAUGUAAAUCGUUAGGGGACCCAGGCCUAGGUUAGGUAGGCCAUGAGUGAGCCACAUGUCUAUGGCUUCGUAGGUCAUGGUUGGAGCUCUUGGCUUGGGUCCACAUGUCAAGAGUAGAAGGAGGACUGGCCUUUAGCCGCGGCUCGGUGCCAGACGUAUCAUUUAUGAUAGGGGCAGUCCUAGGCCAAGUGCGGAAUCCACUUGAGUGGCUUCCUCUCGGUUCACUCAACUCCCUUUGGGCUCUGUCUUGCCCAACCACCUGGUUCAGUGCCUCGGGGUUACUCGAGGCGGGUCCUUCCAAGGCAGACUCUUCCUCCGUCCUUCCCUGGCUCGUGCCCAGAAGCCCAGGGAUCUGAUCCCCAACAGUUAUAGGGUGACACUGACGUUAAAGGUCGAAGCUUUAUGGUAGAUAUGAACUAACAAUGAUUGAUGGUUGAUAUGGAGAUAUAUAUUGUCCGUAAUUGUACGAACCAUCUUAAGGCGCUCUCCAACAAUCCCCUAGACAUCGCCCCCAACGAUGCCCCUUUGGUGCCCUCUCCACGGGACGAGAGAAUAAAUCCCCCUCACGUGAGAGGGAGCUCUAAUCUCCUGCCUUUUUGUUAAUCUGUAUUUUAACUGUGAAAUUAAUCCCUUUCUAGUAUAAUUACUUGAUAACAAUGUGUAUUAUGGUACUACAAAUAUGGUAGUAUUUUUAAAAACUCCAAAAACAGAUGUAAAAAAUUCAAAUGGCUCAGUUAAAGAGUAAAGGGGGAGCUGAAUAGGGGGAUGAUAGUUGAAGGGGGUAUUUAAAUAUGAAUAGAAAUCAUGAAUGUGGGGUGUGGAGGGGAAUGGGUUGAGAGAGUCUAAGGCGCCUCUAUCACAAGGUGUCUUAGUUUCCAAAAGAGAGGAGCAUAUUGCAACCAGUGUCCUCGCACUGGUCGGUGUGACUUCGAGUGCGGGAUGACAAGGGAGAGGCGAGCCGUGAUGAUUUGAGCAGAGGCGACGGUUCUGCGCAUGCUACCCAAGACAGGAUCAAGACAAAAUUUUGAGAACUUGGAGACAGUUUAGAGCAAGUAUAAUAAGAGACUAUAAGUUGGCUAAAUGUUGAUGUGGAGGAGAGAGAAGAGAAGAGAGAGAGGAGAAACGAGUUGUAAACUUGUAGUCAGCUUUGGCACAAGAACCAAGAAGCUUUGUAAGAGAGAUAAGUGGGGCAUGCAUUAAUACUGAAGAGAUAACCACCAUACGGAUGGGGCUAAAUGGCAGGCUUCAUGGAUCCUUAUGGCUAACAGUUGGCUCUAUUAUUAUACUUGCUCUUAUAGGAUUGUCGACACUGGCAUCACCUGUUGUUGAUUUAGACACGUAUCUAAUGCUUGAAUUUAACAUUGGCAUCACCUACUGUUGAUUUAGACACGUAUCUAAUGCUUGAAUUUAUUGUCUUUCGUCACUGCAUUGGAAAUGGAUUAGACAUCUCUCACCUACUUGUGUCACAAGCGCAGGAGCGAAUCGAGGCUGCAUAUAAAUACUCUUCUUGUUCUAAUUUAUAAUUUCUUUAACUUUUUUACUCCAAAUUUUAUGGACUCAUCUUAUUCAAAUAUUUUCAUUAUUAUUAUUGAUUUUUACUGUAAUAUUGUUUAGCAUAUAAUAUACUUUAAGUAUGUCUCUGAAUUUUCCAUUUUUCGGCAAAAUAAAAUAACACAAGUCGAACGAACUUGGUAAAAAAAGUCAAAUAAAUUAUAAUUAGGUGGGAGGGAGUAGUUAUUACUUGGGUUCCAAUUCAAAUACCUUUCAAGUGUUGUCGCGUGUAUAUGUGGUGAGUCAACUGCUAACGUUGUUUAGUACCUAGUGGACUAGUGGUGUUUUUACUCUUUUAUGGGGAAUUUGAAGGGCUGUUUGGUUCGUGACUAAUUGUGCUACAUUUUAUCUAAGGUUAUUAAUCCAAAUUAAAAAAUUUACCUUAACCAUAAAAAAUAAAUAAAAUAUGACAAAUUAGACAGCGAACUAAACAUGUUAAUUUCUUUUCUCAUCGUGGAAACUGCAGGCGCGGAGAACCAAGCAAGGCCUGGCGUUAUUGUCGUUUCAACGGUGGAGGACACCGACCACUCUCAUGUGGUCUGAAGACGGAAGACCGGUCCAGUCCUGACAGCGGUCAUUUCAGCCGGCGGUGAGUAGGUCCGAAUUUUUUUGCAUUUUGGUCCUUCGUCAGAAAAAAAUUCACGUUUAGACUCUAGAAAAUUUUAAUGUCACUUUUGGAUCCUUUACUCGGCGCCGUAGCAUGUAGCGCCGAGGUAACACAGCUCGGCGCCAUAGGCUAUGGCGCCGUGGUACGUGCCGCGUUGGCAUAAACGGACGUCGUGGCGCCGACGUGGUACCGAGCUCGGCGCCAUAAAUCUUGACGCCGAGCUCCGUUCUGUACAGAAAACUUGUCUAGCUCAAUUGGUAAAAUUAAGGCUUUUAAACUUGUGGUCGUGGGUUCGAGCCCCACGGUGGGUGUUUUUUAAUACUUUUUGUCUUUGUCACUUAUUUAUUUUUUUUGUUGUCCAUAUUUUUCGUUUAUGUCGCUAAUUUGUCCGUCCUGAUUUAUUUCUCAUCCAGUUUUUUUGUGACUGAUUUGUUUAUUCGUCCAGAUUUUUUUUAUCCAGUGAGCACAGCAGCUGUAUAUGCAGUAAAUUCUAAAAUAUAUCAUUCAUUAGACAAGUAUAUAAUGGAGUAUACUUUUAUUUAGUGCAGAAGAAAAAAAGAUGAAUACGUGUGCUUCUUUUUACUGGGAAUAUGUUAUUAUGGAUUUAAAAUUUAUGUUCAAAAGAACUCAAUGAAAAUAUAAUAUUUUUAUUUGAUCACGAUUGAAGUAAGAGUGUUCUCAUUUGAUUUUUAUUGUGUUUAGCUGAGCAAACAAGGGGAGAAGUUGACGGCUUGUGAGCACUGUGGCACACAGCUGCUGUGCUCGCCGGAUUAAAAAAAUCUGGACGAAUAAACAAAUCAGUCACAAAAAUAAAACUGGAUGAAAAAUAAAUCAGGACAGACAAAUCAACGAUAUAAAUGAAAAAUAUGGACAACAAAAAAAACAAAUAAGUGACAAAGACAAAAAAAGUAUUAAAAACGACCACCGUGGGGUUGUAUUUUACCAAAUGAGCUAGACAAGUUUUCUAUAUAGAAUAGAGCUCGGCGCCAAGAUCUAUGGCGCCGAGCUCGGUACCACGUCGGCGCCACGACAUCCGUUUGUGCCAACGCAGCACGUACCUCGGCGCAAUAGCCUAUGGCGCCGAGCUGUGUUACCUCGGCGCCACAGGCUACGGCGCCGAGUAAAGGGUCCAAAAAUGACAUUAAAAUUUUCUAAGGUCCAAACGUGAUUUUUUUUCCGAUGAAGGACCAGAAUGCAAAAAAUUCGGGUGAGUAGGUCUGUCAAUCCAUAGGUUCGGUCACUAUUGAUCGCACGUAGGGCGUUUGAUGGACCGGGCCCAUCGGAAACGACUGCCGUUUAUGAGGUAACGUGUUUUAGUUGUUUCACGUGUGCGCGUCAUGUUAGCUACAUAUACCGUUUAAUGUCCUAAAUAUUCUAAAAAUAUAAAAUUAUUUAUGAAUAAUAGAUUUUUUACGGAGUGUUAGCUUCAUAGUUUUAUCACAUCGGAUAUUUAAAUAUCUAUUACGAGUAUUAAAUAUAGUUUAAUUAUAUACAUAACUAAUUAUAUGGUUGAAUCCUAAACGAUAAGAAAAAUAUGAAGCAUAAUUAAUUCAUGGCUAACAAAUAUUUAUUGUAGUAUCAUAUGAACAAAUCAUGAACUAAUUAGUUUUAAUAGAUUUGUCUUAUCGGUUAGCCAUCAUCUGCGCAAUUAGUUUGGUAACUAUAUUUUACAUUUCUAACUAGUAUCUAAAACUCCAACAUGAUAGGGAUUAAUGUUUAGUCAGGGGAACCAAACAUGGCCUUAGUUUCAGGAAUAAGUACUUUUUAUAUUUUAUGACUUAUGUAAAUUUUAUCAUGUUUUAUGUAUUUUUUAUUUAUCUUGUAUGUAUUAUGUAAUUGGAUGCAUUUUUAUUUAAAUAAAACAAUGUGUUUUGAAUAAUAAAAACUUAUAAAAGAAAAACCGAUAUGACACUGAGGUGACUAUAAAUUGAUGAUAAAGGAAGCUAGUAGAUAAGGAUUGACGAUGGAUGACAAUAAAAUUGAUAAUACAAUUGCUAGUAGAUGUGAUGCGGCGUGGCAAUAGAUAUAGAUAGGUACGGAAUAAAUCUUAGGGUUGGUUUAGUGACCAGGAAAUUGAAGAGGAUUCCUCUCCAUAAAUCUUCUCCAAUUCUCUGGUCACCAAAUCAACCAUUAAGGUGGUCUAGGGCUUGAGAAAAAAAUAUGAAGAGAGAGGAGCAUAUCUAAUGUAUAUGUGCAAUGUUUUUAUCUCAGAGCUUGUUCCAAAUAAUGUCUCAGAUUCGAAGCUAAUGUUUGACUUGUCCUUUGCAAGCAUAAACGAUUAACAGUAUAUUGGGAUCAUUAAUAUUAAUAUUUUUCUUACAUUAUAGUAUCUUUAUGUGUUCUCGUUAAAGAAAAUGGCUAUUAUUGGUAAACAUAAGGCAACCCAUGCUUCCAAUUAUCAAUUCACCAUAAAAAAAAGUUGGUAUAUGUUAGUUCUGAAAAGUCACAGGCAAGAAUAUGAUGGUUGUUUACUUGUUACCAGAUUUUCCGAUGUCUACUCGGGCAUUAUUUGGCUGCUCGCUGAGAUGUUUACUUCUUGUGAACGUACUAGUGUGUAUAGGGUGGUCUAGUACGCUUGAAAGGUAGAAUACUUGCAGGUCUAGAAUGGAAACGGAUGUCAUGUUGCUGUAGUUGCAUUAUUGUCAACAAGCUAAGCUAGGCUGUUUCGCUUGCAUCACUGCAACUAGCUAGCUUAACAGCAUGGUCACAUCGUGCAUCUAGAUGUAGGAAUGAAAUAACCAAUCCGGAUCGUUUUUUUUUUGGGUUCAUGGCCGGACUCAUGGAAACAAGUUGUGUCCAAUGCACUUGCUUGCGGAAGAAUCAUAUGAGAGGAUAGGUAGCGUAGAAAACUCUCAAGUAUAUUAUUUCAAUAGUUAGUUUUAGAUCCUGUUUGUAUCUAGAUUAUUAUAAGAAACAGUAGAAAAAGAACAACCUAUACUGGUUGCUAACCAACUACAGUAACGAAUUCUCAAUCAGUACUUCGCAUCGAGGACUAAAGGCAUCAAUAUUUAGUCCUGGUUAAAUGAACCGAUACUAAAAUAAACAUGGCCAUUUUAUUAUAUGUAUACUUACAUUAAAAUUAAAAUGAAUGUAUAUAUAUAUAUAUAUAUGCAACAAAAACCAGUGUCGUUUGUAUGCCAUAAAAAUCUUAAGAACUACAGACCUAACUUCCUGUAAAAUAUCAGAGUCAAAAUUAACAGGAAAUCAGAGAGGUAGUGUCGGCCUCAAGUUCGGUAGUGCUGGGUCCAGAAGUGCCGAGCACACGGGCGGCAGUGCCGGGCACCGAAAAAUGCCCAGAAUGAUCUCAAACUUCACAUAUAGUUUGCGCGGGGUAGAAGACGGUUACUAGUGAACAAACCAAAAAUCAAAGCUUAGAUCAGAAAAUCCGAGAGAGAUGGGGUUUUCUCAAAACGAGCCUAAAUGAGAAUCAACUCGGGUCAUGACCAAGAACUGCACUGUGAGGGUGUACGCAGUAAUCCAAAGAGUCUAUAUCCACCCAAAUCAAUCCCCAACAAUACUCAUGUCGCAAAAACUCGAAGGUUCUCCACAAAUCCACAAGAGAAGAGGAAAGGAUAAAACAAAACUUCAGAAUUUAGCAAUUAUCAAAAAUUGAGAUUGAGAAGUGAACAAAACAUGUGGGUCGUACCGGCGACCCUUCCUCGAAUUAUACAUGAAGAACAAAAACCAAGUCGACGGUUACAAAAUUGACGCGGAUCCCUUGGUUAAACUGGUGACUACCGAGACAGAAAACUAGGAGUACUAAAAUAAGAAGCCUAAAGAAAUGGCAGCCAUAAGAUGCUUGACUAACAAGCCUGUCCCUCUAUUUAUAGAGGGUUAUUUGUAUUUUGUAAACUACCCCUAUUUAUAUGGAGUCUAUUGACUCCGCUAGGGGAGAAAUAGACCAACUCAUAGGUUUUCGAUUUGAUGGCCACAUGCUCCACACGAACUUGCUUCGCCUUGACAAACCCUUAGCUGUGAUGCCACGUGCCGCCACCGGAUCCCUCCAGAACCGCCGCCAUCGAGUUUUGAGGCCCAAACUUAGCAAAACCCAACAUCCGUAACGCAGGAUGGUGUUGAGGCUCAACCACCAAACCGUCAUGAGUAUCACAGCACCACAUGUGCGUCCUCCAUGACCAGACAUGUGUCCUGCCAGUCCUCGAUCGCGCCAACAGGAUGGUCCACUCCACCAUAUCCUUACGCGAGUGCAUGUCCCAGGUGUCAACCACCAUGGAUGGUCACCCAUCUACUCCAAUUCGUCAGCCAAGAUCCAACACUCGUCCUUCAUCGCUCCCGGUCCAUCAGCACGAGACCGCAUGACCUUCACCUCAGCCGUCGAUUACUGUCCCUGUUCUCCACACCUAGACAGCACAAGCCGACCGACAUGGUUGCACAUACAUAAUCUCACACUCGGGUCAGUCCACUGAGUACCCAAGAGUGCUACCCGUUAAGACAAUCACUCAUUAUCAACCCAAACCACAAGGGACAACUCAAUCUUGUGUUCGCAAUCUCCCAUUUGAUGAGUGCAAUGUCAACACCACCACAUGAACAUAUAUAAGCAGAAAGAGGAAGAAGAAGAAGAAGAGAAACUCACUCAAAUGACCAAAAGCCAGAAAAUGGCCAAACAAGUCAUCCAAAGUAAGCAAAACUUGGUCUCCAAAGAAAUGGGCAACGACUCAACACGACCAAGUAUAAAACGGUUUGUCCUCACAAAGAGGAAAAAGUAGGGCUCAACACCACUAGCCAGCCAACAAAACAAAAUCAGCACAAAAGCUGAAAUCAAAGCUAGUUCCUCCAGAAAGAGGCAAGUGGCUCAACACAUCUAGCAAAAGCUCCAAAAUCCAAUGUCUCUCCCCCUGAGAAUCUCUCCCCUUGCGAAAGUAGUCUCCCAAAGCAAAAAUCUCUCCCCUUUGUUAGGAGGCAAAAAAUCUCAAAGUCUCUCCCCCAUAUUGACAAGUGAACUCAUCAAGCACAAACAAGGGUAAAACAGAAACUCCCCGUGAGAAAAUGCAGAAAUGCAAAAGAAAGGAGAAUAUGCACGAGCUUCAAAAGUAUACCAAUCAGUGUAAAAAUGCUCUAAGUGGUGUUGUGCUAUGUGUGCAGCAAUAAAUUCACAUGCCAUCAAAUGUUCAAACUGACUAUAUGCACAAGAUAUAUUAAGUGUAAGCAAUUUGAUUUAGUUUUAAACAGUUCAAAAGAGAAGUUCACUACUAAAGACAGCACUAGGCAUAUAGUAAGAAGGAAAUCAACUAAUUGCCAGUCAAGGUAAACCAGGUGAAGUACCCCCAAACAGUGGCCACUCAUCAUGUUAGAAACAUACCUGAAAAUGAUACUAGAUGAUAAUCUCAAUAUUUAUCGGAUUUUGCAGUGGAUUACAAGUUUUAAGGAAAGAAUGUGAGUACGAGAGGUUAUAAGCAUUGUCAUUGUCUAACUUUUCAAUCGGGUGUAGCGUAUGCAGAAAAGAAAUCAGAAGCUAAAGACACCGGUUUGAUCAUCCACUACCGUGCUCAAGUUCAUCUAAAGGUGCAAAUGGAAGCAGUUUCUAUAAAGAGAGGUGGAGACAAAUGCAAACCUAUCUCAAUCUUUCUGAAUUUUUCACUUAUUUUGAUUUUGAUUUUAAGAACAUAACUUAUGAUUCAAGACAAUGAAUGACUCAGAGCAUGAGACAUAGCCAUCUAGCAUACUAGUGGGAGCACAAAGGAUUUCAGACACAUCCUAUAUACUCUAGGUGCCAUUCUCAAAUGGUGAACAUGUUUUGGAUUCAGCAAGUAAUAGUCAAGUUCACAAUUAUGAAAAAACAAGCUUAUCAAAACCUCUUGAUCAGCCUUGCUCACGGUCAUGAGCGGCUCGAACCCUCACAUGAGUAACUUAUGGAAUUAAAUUUAAUUAGUUAUUUGCAUCACAUUGUGGUUUAUUUAUUAAUUAUGAUAUCUCAUUAUUUGGGUUGGUAUUUACUUAUACUUAGUAAUUGCUAAUAAAAUUUGACCAACUUAUUAAAAGCAAUGCUCAGCUUUAACCAUUAUUUAUUGAUCAGCCUUACACUGCACAUGAACUCCCACCUUUGGUGAGUUCAUGCACAUUAUUCCCCAUAACUUGUUGAGCUAUGAUCUUUUGUGAGCUCACUCUUGCGAUUAUAAACCGCUCCACAGGUGAAGAGCAAGUAGCCAGGAGGAGGACUACUACGUGGAGUACGAGGAAGUCUAGGUGGCGUCUCCCAGUCAACUUGAUGGCGCCAAUGAAUAAUUAUUAGUUUGCUUUAUUGUUAUCAUUUAUUUUUGUAAGACACUUCCGCUAUGUAAUAAUGUUUAUGACAUUUAUCUCCAUACACUUGGUCAUUAGAUGUGUUGUUGUUCUUUGACGCACAUAUGAGAUGCACCCGACUUUAUCCCUUAAAUCUGGGUGUGACAAUAGUUUUAACCUUUGUUUCCCAACAAAAUAAAGUUAUUAGAUGAUAAACAAUAUUAAUAUAAAUUUAAUGCAACUGGAAUGGAUCAAAAAUGUGUUAGAAUGAAUUAAAUAUGAAUUAAACAAGCUCCUGGAAUUAUUUCUAUACUAAAAAUCAUUUUUUGGUUUAUUUUUGAAUAUCUCUACUGACUCUGGACUGUGUACACAAUUACUAGAUAGUAUAGGGGUUAAUUCAUAAAUUCCUAGGGCACAAAUGGAAUUACUUUGCACUGUGGGUUCAUUUCUGUUAAGUUCGGGGGUUUAUUUGUAAAAGUCAAAUGGCGAAAGGGUAUCACGAGAUCUAGGCCGCCCGAUCUGAAUUCUGGGAUCCAGAUUAGAUCGGCCUAACCCUUAUGAAGCUUACAUCGAGGGCCAUCGAUCCCCAGAUCGACGGUGGAGGCUAGGGUUUCAGGUAGUCCGGCUUAUCGACAGGCGAUGGUCGCGAUCGUCUCAACGAAACGGUAUGCCCAGGCACCAACCAGGGUCGAUGGAUCCGCGACCCACGGUCCAGAUUUUAUGAACCCAUGAUCUAAUAUGUGCUAUUGAUUACACGAUCCAACGGGCAGCGAGCGCCGCAGCUCCUCUCGCUUCUCAGCGACGACCGUGACGGCGACGCCACUCCCCUUCACGACGGAUCUCGCCGGAGGCACCCGGUUUCCAACCCCCAAUGCCCUAAAUAUCGAUUGAAACACUUCUACACGACGUAGGGCACACGCUGCGAGUAUGCAGGGGGUAACGUACCGAUGAUUCAGGCAGCCAGAGGUUGCUCCACGACGGACGGUGGAUCUGCGACGGAGGUGAUAAUCCUGGCGACGAAUUCCGCGCACUCCAGCCGAUAAUCACUCACAGCACGCUAACGUCGACCCUCCCAGACUUCUUGUAGUGCACUCUAGAUGGUCACGAAGGCUUCAUCGGCGGCGGGUGAUUGAGCCCGCGGCGGCGGCAAAACUCCCUCCCCCUGAUCUCUCUCCCCACGGCGCGAUGUUCUCGGUGGUGUGAAAUCGAUGAGGGUUGUUGCGCGGGGUCUGGAGCACAGGCCGACCAGCUGGCCCGCGCCGAGCGCGGGUGGUUUCAACUACCCGCCCGUGGCGAUAUCACGGGGAAGGGGAUACACAUGU
This 10598-nucleotide long non-coding RNA is filed under the name Zea mays. RNAcentral's name for it is "long non-coding RNA (ZMAY_LNC001604)". The stretch from base 3279 to 3350 matches the Rfam family "tRNA". Lineage: Eukaryota; Viridiplantae; Streptophyta; Magnoliopsida; Poales; Poaceae. The record is from RNAcentral.